RNAcentral lists this ribosomal RNA (440 nucleotides) under uncultured bacterium. Its description in RNAcentral is "partial 16S ribosomal RNA". It matches the Rfam family "Bacterial small subunit ribosomal RNA", at positions 339 to 795 of the family's 1533-position model. The record is from RNAcentral.
CUACGGGAUGCAGCAGUGAGGAAUAUUGCGCAAUGGGGGCAACCCUGACGCAGCAACGCCGCGUGGAUGAUGAAGGCCUUCGGGUUGUAAAAUCCUUUUCUGGGGGGCGAUAAUGACGGUACCUCAGGAAUAAGUCCCGGCUAACUACGUGCCAGCAGCCGCGGUAAAACGUAGGGGGCGAGGCGUUAUCCGGAUUUACUGGGCGUAAAGCGCGCGUAGGCGGUGCCGUAAGUUGGAUGUGAAAGCUCUUGGCUUAACUGAGAGAGGUCGUUCAAUACUGCGGUGCUUGAGGUCAGAAGAGGAGAGUAGAAUUCCCGGUGUAGUGGUGGAAUGCGUAGAUAUCGGGAGGAAUACCGGUGGCGAAGGCGGCUCUCUGGUCUGUACCUGACGCUGAGGUGCGAAAGCGUGGGUAGCGAACGGGAUUAGAUACCCGUGUAGUC